Long non-coding RNA from Gigantopelta aegis, 453 nucleotides. RefSeq lists it as uncharacterized. The transcript is spliced from 2 exons. The record is from RefSeq and is a predicted model, not a curated record. Lineage: Eukaryota; Metazoa; Mollusca; Gastropoda; Neomphalida; Peltospiridae.
CGUGAUUCUAAACAUUGCCGCGCACAGUACUUUGACGUCACUGGCCAAUAAACCCGUCUAUACAGCUACAAGUCAGAACAGUUACGCGUGGCCCUAAAAACCAAAAUCGCCAUUCAAGAACAUUUGGAGCAUUAUACCAAAAAGCGUUGGAAGAUGCCAGCAAAUUGAGGAACCAGUAAUGCAUUAUAUUCGUCUUCUUACACACACCCGUUGAUGAGACCAUCAUUCGUUAUUUUUGAUAACUCCUAGGUUAUGACCAGGUCGCCAGUGUCAUGCCAUGGAAAACACUAUCGAAAUGGAUCACUAAGUAACAUACAAGUUAACUUGAAAUUGACUUGCCUGUGACGUAUUAUAAGUAAACUAUAAGCGCUAGGACCGUAAAUAUGUUUUAAAUGUAUUAAAAGUUUGGGGGUUUUUGAAGAUGCAUGUAUGUAAUAAAUAGAAUACUACAUU